RNAcentral lists this ribosomal RNA (248 nucleotides) under uncultured bacterium. RNAcentral's name for it is "partial 16S ribosomal RNA". It matches the Rfam family "Bacterial small subunit ribosomal RNA", at positions 523 to 769 of the family's 1533-position model. The record is from RNAcentral.
AUACAGAGGGUGCAAGCGUUAAUCGGAUUUACUGGGCGUAAAGGGCGCGUAGGCGGUAAGAAGUAGUGUGUUGUGAAAGCCCCGGGCUCAACCUGGGAAUGGCGAUGGAUACUGGCGGGCUAGAGUGCGGUAGAGGAGAGUGGAAUUCCCGGUGUAGCAGUGAAAUGCGUAGAGAUCGGGAGGAACAUCAGUUGCGAAGGCGGCUCUCUGGACCAGCACUGACACUGAGGCACGAAAGCGUGGGGAGC